Molecule: long non-coding RNA, 311 nt
Filed under: Pan troglodytes (chimpanzee)
Lineage: Eukaryota; Metazoa; Chordata; Mammalia; Primates; Hominidae
Description: lincRNA
Source: RNAcentral
CAGCCAUGGCACUAGCGAGCAGGGUCAUCAGAGCUGCUCCAUUCUUCUGGAAGCUGCAGAGAAAGGGAGCCCAGAAACCUGGUAUGCCGGCAAAAAGGAUGGAGUUUCACUCUUAUACUCUUGUCGCCCAGGCUGGAGUGCAAUGACACGAUCUUGGCUGACUGCAACCUCUGCCUCCCGGGUUCAAGCGAUUCUCCUGCCUCAGCCUCCUGAGCAGCUGGGAUUACAGUUUAUAAUCAGAUGUAAGUCUCUUGGGGAAUCUGACCUCAUACCUCAUCUAUGCAGUUCCUGUACAAGGUUCCUGACCUGUG